This 1345-nucleotide ribosomal RNA is filed under the name uncultured bacterium. RNAcentral's name for it is "bacterial SSU rRNA". It matches the Rfam family "Bacterial small subunit ribosomal RNA", at positions 28 to 1381 of the family's 1533-position model. The record is from RNAcentral.
GAUGAACGCUAGCGGGAGGCCUAACACAUGCAAGCCGAGCGGUAGAGAUCUUUCGGGAUCUUGAGAGCGGCGUACGGGUGCGGAACACGUGUGCAACCUGCCUUUAUCUGGGGGAUAGCCUUUCGAAAGGAAGAUUAAUACCCCAUAAUAUGUUGGAUGGCAUCAUUCGACAUUGAAAACUCCGGUGGAUAGAGAUGGGCACGCGCAAGAUUAGAUAGUUGGUGAGGUAACGGCUCACCAAGUCUGCGAUCUUUAGGGGGCCUGAGAGGGUGAUCCCCCACACUGGUACUGAGACACGGACCAGACUCCUACGGGAGGCAGCAGUGAGGAAUAUUGGACAAUGGGUGAGAGCCUGAUCCAGCCAUCCCGCGUGAAGGACGACGGCCCUAUGGGUUGUAAACUUCUUUUGUAUAGGGAUAAACCUACUCUCGUGAGAGUAGCUGAAGGUACUAUACGAAUAAGCACCGGCUAACUCCGUGCCAGCAGCCGCGGUAAUACGGAGGGUGCGAGCGUUAUCCGGAUUUAUUGGGUUUAAAGGGUCCGUAGGCGGAUCUGUAAGUCAGUGGUGAAAUCUCACAGCUUAACUGUGAAACUGCCAUUGAUACUGCAGGUCUUGAGUGUUGUUGAAGUAGCUGGAAUAAGUAGUGUAGCGGUGAAAUGCAUAGAUAUUACUUAGAACACCAAUUGCGAAGGCAGGUUACCAAGCAACAACUGACGCUGAUGGACGAAAGCGUGGGGAGCGAACAGGAUUAGAUACCCUGGUAGUCCACGCCGUAAACGAUGCUAACUCGUUUUUGGGCUCUCGGGUUCAGAGACUAAGCGAAAGUGAUAAGUUAGCCACCUGGGGGGUACGAACGCAAGUUUGAAACUCAAAGGAAUUGACGGGGGCCCGCACAAGCGGUGGAUUAUGUGGUUUAAUUCGAUGAUACGCGAGGAACCUUACCAAGGCUUAAAUGGGAAAUGACAGGUUUAGAAAUAGACUUUUCUUCGGACAUUUUUCAAGGUGCUGCAUGGUUGUCGUCAGCUCGUGCCGUGAGGUGUUAGGUUAAGUCCUGCAACGAGCGCAACCCCUGUCACUAGUUGCCAUCAUUAAGUUGGGGACUCUAGUGAGACUGCCUACGCAAGUAGAGAGGAAGGUGGGGAUGACGUCAAAUCAUCACGGCCCUUACGCCUUGGGCCACACACGUAAUACAAUGGCCGGUACAGAGGGCAGCUACACAGCGAUGUGAUGCAAAUCUCGAAAGCCGGUCUCAGUUCGGAUUGGAGUCUGCAACUCGACUCUAUGAAGCUGGAAUCGCUAGUAAUCGCGCAUCAGCCAUGGCGCGGUGAAUACGUUCCCGGGCCU